This 206-nucleotide ribosomal RNA is filed under the name uncultured bacterium. Its description in RNAcentral is "partial 16S ribosomal RNA". It matches the Rfam family "Bacterial small subunit ribosomal RNA", at positions 568 to 774 of the family's 1533-position model. The record is from RNAcentral.
CAUGUAGGCGGCUUAAUAAGUCGAGCGUGAAAAUGCGGGGCUCAACCCCGUAUGGCGCUGGAAACUGUAAGGCUUGAGUGCAGGAGAGGAAAGGGGAAUUCCCAGUGUAGCGGUGAAAUGCGUAGAUAUUGGGAGGAACACCAGUGGCGAAGGCGCCUUUCUGGACUGUGUCUGACGCUGAGAUGCGAAAGCCAGGGUAGCGAACG